RNAcentral lists this ribosomal RNA (556 nucleotides) under uncultured bacterium. Its description in RNAcentral is "bacterial SSU rRNA". It matches the Rfam family "Bacterial small subunit ribosomal RNA", at positions 8 to 571 of the family's 1533-position model. The record is from RNAcentral.
AGAGUUUGAUCAUGGCUCAGGACGAACGCUGGCGGCGUGCCUAACACAUGCAAGUCGAACGGUCUCAGCUGGUCAGCUUGCUGACCGGCUGAGAUAGUGGCGGACGGGUGAGUAACGCGUGAGCAACCUGGCUCGAAGAGUGGAAUAACGUAGGGAAACCUGCACUAAUACCGCAUAACAUACGGGUAUCGCAUGGUACCUGUAUCAAAGGAGAAAUCCGCUUUGAGAUGGGCUCGCGUCCGAUUAGAUAGUUGGCGGGGUAACGGCCCACCAAGUCUGCGAUCGGUAGCCGGACUGAGAGGUUGAACGGCCACAUUGGGACUGAGAUACGGCCCAGACUCCUACGGGAGGCAGCAGUGGGGGAUAUUAGACAAUGGGGGAAACCCUGAUCUAGCAACGCCGCGUGAAGGAUGAAGGUUUUCGGAUUGUAAACUUCUUUGACGAGGGAAGAUAAUGACGGUACCUCGAGAACAAGCCACGGCUAACUACGUGCCAGCAGCCGCGGUAAUACGUAGGUGGCGAGCGUUGUCCGGAUUUACUGGGUGUAAAGGGCGUG